GUGGGGAAUAUUGGACAAUGGGCGAAAGCCUAAUCCAGCCAUGCCGCGUGUGUGAAGAAGGUCUUCGGAUUGUAAAGCACUUUAAGUUGGGAGGAAGGGCAGUAAGUUAAUACCUUGCUGUUUUGACGUUACCGACAGAAUAAGCACCGGCUAACUUCGUGCCAGCAGCCGCGGUAAUACGAAGGGUGCAAGCGUUAAUCGGAAUUACUGGGCGUAAAGCGCGCGUAGGUGGUUUUGUAAGUUGGAGGUGAAAUCCCCGGGCUCAACCUGGGAACUGCCUCCAAAACUGCAUGACUAGAGUACGGUAGAGGGUAGUGGAAUUUCCUGUGUAGCGGUGAAAUGCGUAGAUAUAGGAAGGAACACCAGUGGCGAAGGCGACUACCUGGACUGAUACUGACACUGAGGUGCGAAAGCGUGGGGAGCAAACAGGAUUAGAUACCCUAGUAGUCC
Molecule: ribosomal RNA, 450 nt
Filed under: uncultured bacterium
Lineage: Bacteria
Description: partial 16S ribosomal RNA
Rfam family: Bacterial small subunit ribosomal RNA
Source: RNAcentral